Stegostoma tigrinum is the source of this 1829-nucleotide long non-coding RNA. RefSeq lists it as uncharacterized. Lineage: Eukaryota; Metazoa; Chordata; Chondrichthyes; Orectolobiformes; Stegostomatidae. The record is from RefSeq and is a predicted model, not a curated record. The transcript has 3 exons.
UAACAAUCGAUUUACAGUAAAUCAGUUGAGCUUGUAAUGUUUCGCUUUAAAAGAAGUUGUCAAAGCUUCAACUCCAGAUUGUGAUGUCCGGAGUGACUGAUUUCUUUUUAAAAGAAAAGAAUCCCCAACGGCGCCAAUAGAAAGAAAACUGCCAGCGUGGCAUGUCAACCCUACAACAACUACUCACCCAAACUAAAGACCCACUCCCCACCACGGACAGGGCCAAUGUCAGUGUCACCAACAAGACCCCUUGCAGAGAGCGAGAAACACUACAUCGGACAAACAGGAAGGAAACUAACAAGAGUACAUGAACACCAACUGGCUACAAAAAGACACGACCCAUACACUCACAUCUCAAUCCACACGGACAAGGAGAACGACCAUUUCAACUGGGACACCACCAAAAUCCUGGGACAAGCUAGGCUGAGACAAGCACAAGAAUUCCUAGAAGCCUGGCACUCCACAAAAACAUGCUAUUAAUAAACACAUUGAACUCGACCCUGUAUACAUUCCACUAGGAAGGAAAACUGGAAGCGAGGCAAUCCAGCUCAGUGGACUCGAGUUUAAAAACCAGGCAGGAAAACACACCGAUGCUUCAGAGGCUGCACUGAGAAUGUUACCCAGCACGGUAAUGAAACGUCUGUGAUUCAAGAAACCAGCUCGGCGAGUCAGCCAACCUGGCCUUUCAAAAUGGUCACAAAAUCUGACAAGAUGGUUAUCAGAAGUCACGUGAAAAUUCCUAAUUCACCACUGCUUUAAAAAAAAGGAGAAAUUUGUGCUCAGAAUCAAGCCUAAAAGACGACAUUUGCAUUUUGUUUAACCUUUGGACAAGAUAACCCACCACAACUGGUCUUUCUGAAGAUGUCAAAUUCAAAGCUGAUGUAAGAACAAGAAACAGCAAAGGACAUCAACACAAUUCACUUUGUCUAGUGAAACAAGGCUCAUUUGAAAUUACAGCCUGUAAGUGGGUGAAAAUCCAGCAUAUGGGAUGCUGUGUGGGAAAAUUUAGCAAGAAAGUGAUAAAGCAGAAUAUUACUUUGAAGAAGAGCAACUGCAGAAUUCUGAGGAAUUUGGGAAUUUCGGUGAGCAAGUCAUAAGAAGUAGCAAAUAACCUAAAAGGCAAAUCAAAUGCUAUUGUUAGGGAGAAAUUUGGGUAUGACAUUAACUAACCUGCAAAUCCACACCAGUUGGGGAGGUGAUGGCCUAGUGGUAUUAUCACUGGCCUGUUAAUCUAGAGAAACUGAUAAAGUUCUGGGGAUCUGGAUUUGAAUCCUGCCAUGGCAGAUGGUGGAAUUUGAAUUCAAUAAGUAUCUGGAAUUAAGAGUCUAAUGACCAUGAAUCCAUCGUCAAUUGUUGGAAAAACCCAUCUGGUUCACUAAUGGCCUUUAGGGAAGGAAACUACCAUCCUUACCUGGUCUGGUCUACACGUGACUUCAGACCCACAGCAACAUAUAGUUGACUCUUCACCGUCCUCGGAGCAAUUACGAGUGAGCAAUAAAUGCUGCCCUAGCCAGCGACACCCUCAACCCGUGAAUGAAUAAAUAAAGAGGCUGGGACUAGAAUGCUACGGAAUAUUCAACUUUAUAAGCAAUAAUCAUUUAAGAUUCCUUUUCUAUUCAAGAAAGUAGUCAGGAUGUUUCUGUGAAAAUACCACCUGGCUGAACCAGCAUUAAACCUGAGGCCUUAUUUGGAAAUGGCAAGAAAGGAUGACCCUGUACCUAACAAGAACAAAAACGCAAUGAUGUUUAGUCUCAGACUGGAUUGAAGCACAGGCUUUGGAGGAAGAUAGGGGGUACCUGGGAAGAUGGGGAGUGGUGAGCCUAGAGGUA